UGGGGAAUUUUGGACAAUGGGCGAAAGCCUGAUCCAGCCAUGCCGCGUGAGUGAAGAAGGCCUUCGGGUUGUAAAGCUCUUUUAGUCGGAAAGAAAGAGUUGCAAUGAAUAAUUGUGAUUUAUGACGGUACCGACAGAAAAAGCACCGGCUAACUACGUGCCAGCAGCCGCGGUAAUACGUAGGGUGCGAGCGUUAAUCGGAAUUACUGGGCGUAAAGGGUGCGCAGGCGGUCUUGCAAGUCAGAUGUGAAAGCCCCGGGCUUAACCUGGGAAUUGCGUUUGAAACUACAAGGCUAGAGUGCAGCAGAGGGGGGUGGAAUUCCAUGUGUAGCAGUGAAAUGCGUAGAGAUGUGGAAGAACACCGAUGGCGAAGGCAGCUCCCUGGGUUGACACUGACGCUCAUGCACGAAAGCGUGGGGAGCAAACAG
Molecule: ribosomal RNA, 428 nt
Filed under: uncultured bacterium
Lineage: Bacteria
Description: bacterial SSU rRNA
Rfam family: Bacterial small subunit ribosomal RNA
Source: RNAcentral